GAUGAAGAACGUAGCGAAAUGCGAUAAGUAAUGUGAAUUGCAGAAUUCAGUGAAUCAUCGAAUCUUUGAACGCACAUUGCGCCCGCCAGUAUUCUGGCGGGCAUGCCUGUUCGAGCGUCAUUACAACCCUCAGGCCCCCGGGCCUGGCGUUGGGGAUCGGCGGAGCCCCCCGUGGGCACACGCCGUCCCCCAAAUGCAGUGGCGGUCCCGCCGCAGCUUCCAUCGCGUAGUAGCUAACACCUCGCGACUGGAGAGCGGCGCGGCCACGCCGUAAAACACCCAACUCUUCUGAAGUUGACCUCGAAUCAGGCAGGAAUACCCGCUGAACUUAAGCAUAUCAAUAAGCGGAGGA
Molecule: unclassified non-coding RNA, 352 nt
Filed under: soil metagenome
Description: partial contains 5.8S ribosomal RNA, internal transcribed spacer 2, and large subunit ribosomal RNA
Rfam family: 5.8S ribosomal RNA (bases 1-120)
Source: RNAcentral